Molecule: long non-coding RNA, 1269 nt
Organism: Clupea harengus (Atlantic herring)
Lineage: Eukaryota; Metazoa; Chordata; Actinopteri; Clupeiformes; Clupeidae
Source: Ensembl
CACCCGUCUGCCUUCAUGAGGGCGUAUGGUUUAUUUACUGAUGGAAUAGCUUUUGGACACUAGAGGGCGGUAUAAUACCAACGGGUCACCACAUGUUCACUGACCUACUGACCCCCAGUGCACUCACAGAGACACAUAUCACUGGAGAGGAGGCUGUGCAGCACCUGGCCAAGAGAAUGCAUUACAAUGAAGAGAUCCACAUUCUGAGGUCUGUUUGACCAUUCUAAGUAAAGUCAUGGGUCUCUCUGUGUUAGUUUAGAUAGGAGCCUGAUCUUGAACGCCUGACCUUUUUGCUUUAGUCGAACGUGGAACAUGAUACGUUAUCACUAUGAGAUGAGGAACACAUUAAGAGCUGGCUGCUCAGUUACAUUUCAUCCCUGGUCAAUCUCCUGAAGUUUUAUUUAUUUAUCAUGAUUUUUUUUUUUAUUAUUAUUGUUAGAAGUGACAUUUUAUUUAUUCAUUGCUGAAAGUCUAUGAGGGGAAAAUAAAAGUUCUGAGGUCUGUUUGACCAUUUAUUUCUCUUGAAUUGUUUUUAUUUUUAUUGUUAAAAGUGACCUUUUAGGGUCUGUCAGGGGUUUGCAGGAAAGGACCCAAUCCCAGACCAGAUGCAAAGAGUUCAGGGUUUAUUUUCCAAAAAUGUUAAACACGCAAAAGAUCCAGGCAAACUAAAAAUCCCAAAACACAGAAGACCCCCAAGUUAGGAGUCCAAAAACGGGCAGAGCAAAAAAACACAGAAGCAAGGCAGAGCAAGAAUACGGGAAAGAAUACAGGUUGACAGGACUCAGAAUCCCUCACCAUACUUAGACUGACGAACCAACACGAAACACAAGACAGACUUAACUUAAAUACCAAAAGGGGGAAACACAUAAUAGAACACAGAUGAACUAAACAAGGGGAUUUAACAAGAAGCAGGAGAAACCAAUCAGGCAAACCAACAGGGUAAUUAACAAAGCAGGCGUGACAGAAGGCAGGUGGGGGCGGAGCUCAAGAUGACAACAAAGAAGCACAUGGCAUGAACAAACAAACACGGGAAAGCACAUGGCGGGAACAAGGAAACACAAAACAAAGACAGAGCACAAUCCUGACAGGCUCACUAUGAGCAUGUGAUCACGCUUUUUUGGAGAACGGGGACAACUAAGUAAACAUGAGCUGACCAGGGAAGAUGUCUGACUGACUUAUUGAACCCAAGUGCCUUCAUGAGGGCGUAUGGUUUAUUUACUGAUGGAAUAGCUUUUGGACACUAGGGGCGGUAUAAUACCAACGAGUCAC